UGCAAAUACAAAUAGUUUUAUUGAAAUCACAUAUCAUUAUGUUAAAUAAUAAUUAAGCCGGUGAUACCGCUUUUGAAACAGACACACAAUAAGCCCAUACUUCAUCUCUUUUCUUUAAAUAUUUGGAUUCGUUUCCGAUUAAACUAGGUCUAUCCGCGAUAUAUUUAACAAGUGUGUCAUGACACUCUUUGCCUUCUUGAACAAGCUCCUUGCAACAAGGAAUUGAUACAACUCCAUCUCCAAAAACUUGAGAAAUGAUCUUGAGCGCACAGUUUGGACUGAUUUUAACAACACAUUGAUCCCAUAACUUUUUUAGCUCAUUUUCUUCUACACCAAAUGAAGGCACACAUAUAAUCGCCACAACUAGAACAACAAAAGACAACAUAAUAAAAUUAAGCUUCGCCAUGGUUGUUAUGUGUUUGAGGAUUUACAGUUUAACUUUUCUCAAGUUAGAGAAAUAAAUAAGUUUUUAAAUUUCUGAUGUUAUUUGAAUAAACGAGGGUUACCCUAUUUAUAGAUACGAAUAAUCAAUAUUUAACAUUUAUUUUCGAUUAAUGAAUUUUGUUUUUGACGUUUUUUGUUCAUUAACAUGUGUUAAGUUACGUUUUUUGCUUAAGUUAUUAACUGCUUAGGUUUAUAGUUUAUAAAUAAUUAAAUUAGGAUUCUUGUAUUAUACAAAUGAACAUACUAAGAACUUAUAUAAGUAUUUAAAUUAUAAACUACAGAACAUUUUUAAUGAAUAUUGUUUUUAUGUCAGCAACCUAUAAUUUGGUGGUUGUAUAUCAACUUACUAACAAAAACCAAAAGUACACUCAACAUUUGAUUAAUCUAAAAAUGAUUUAAAGUAUAUAUCAAUAUAUCUCUCUCUGAGAUUAAAGGAGAUAGUUCCAGAUUUUAUAUAUUCUUUAUUUGGUGAUGUAGGAUGCUUAAGAAUAUAAUUUUAUCCUUUUAAUUCAUUAAUUGUAUAAAGUUUUAUAUCGAGAUGGUUAUUAGGUAAAACAUGACUCCACUUGGGAAAGUAAUCUACAAAUUUAAAUUCCCUCUACAAGAAACAAAACAUGAAAUCUAUAAAGAAUGAAAUUUAAUAAAAAAGAAAUAAAAAAUGAAACCAAAUUUUCGAAUUUAAACUUGCGAUAUCAUAAUUUAUCAAUUUCUAACUUACAUAAUAGUUUAAUUACUAUAUAUCUUUCAAGGAAAUUAAUGUGUUUCAUAUUAAAAAUAUAAAUAGUAUAUAUAUAUACUUACAUAAAAUUAACGAAAUGUUAUUUUUAUUCUUGAAUGAAUUUUUUUAAUUGAGUUGAGUCCUUUUAAAAAUGUUUCAUGCCACAGUUUUGAGGUGUGACUCCGUUUGUAUUUGGUUAUUUUUUUUAAUCAUUCUAAAGAUUUUAUUUUCUAUCAAUUUCAUCAAAAUAUAUGUAAUAACUCCAAAAUUUAAACCUGAAAACAUAUGUGAUGGUUCAAAGAAAAUGGUAUAUAGUUUGUGCGACCACGUGCAAUGUAAUAAGUAUGCUGCGGUUUUGUGGAUUCAAGAAAUGCUAUAUUUUUAAGAUUACAAAUCAGUGUUUAUUUUGAUAUUUCGUCUUUUUAAUUCAUAAAAACUGUGAGUAUUAAUUUUUUUUUUAAGUGUUAAUAUCUUUAAUCUGGGACUAGACCUUUUUAUUUUGCAUCUAAAACUCAGAAAAGGGAAUAUAUAAAGUAAUACAAAAGAAAAUAAGUAACACAAAACGAUAAAUAUAAAUCUCACAUAAAUAUAUUAAAAAUUAUUUUUUAUUUUGUAUGCAAAUACAAAUAGUUUUAUUAAAAUCACAUAUCAUUAUGUUAAAUAAUAAUUAAGCCGGUGAUACCGCUUUUGAAACAGAUACACAAUAAACCCAUACUGCAUCUCUUUUCUUUAAAUAUUUGGAUUCGUUUCCGAUUAAACUAGGUCUAUCCGCGAUAUAUUUGACAAGUGUGUCAUGACACUCUUUGCCUUCUUGAACAAGCUCCUUGCAACAAGGAAUGGAUACAACUCCAUCUCCAAAAACUUGAGAAAUGAUCUUGAGCGCACAGUUUGGACUGAUUUUAACAACACAUUGAUCCCAUAACUUUUUUGGCUCAUUUUCUUCUACAGCUAAUGAAGGUACACAUGUAAUCGCCACAACUAGAACAACAAAAGACAACAUAAUAAAGUUAAUCUUUGCCAUGGUUGUUAUGUGUUUGAAGAUUUACAGUUUAACUUUUUUUCAAGUUAGAGAAAGAAAUAAGUUUUUAAAUUUCUGAUGUUAUUUGAAGAAACGAGGUUUGCCCUAUUUAUAGAUACGAAUAAUCAAUAUUUAACAUUUAAUUUCGACUAAUGAAUUUUGUUUUGACGUUUUUUUGUUCAUUAACAUGUGUUAAGUUACGUUUUUUGCUGAAGUUAUUAACUACUUAGGUUUAUAGUUUAUAAAUAAUUAAAUUAGGAUUUUUGUAGUAUACAAAUUAACAUUCUAAGAACUUAUAUAAGUAUUUAAAUUAAAAACUACAGAACAUUUUUAAUGAAUAUUUUUUUUAUGUCAGCAACAUAUAAUUUGGUGGUUGUAUUUCAACUUACUAACAAAAACCAAAAGUACACUCUAACAUUUGAUCAAUCUAAAAAUGAUUUAAAGUAUAUAUCAAUAUAUUUCUCUCUGAGAUUAAAGGAGAGAGUUUCAGAUUUUAUAUAUUCUUUAUUUUGUGAUGUAGGAUGCUUAAGAAUAUAAUUUUAUCCUUUUAAUUUUAUAAACUUUUAUAUCGAGAUGGUUAUAAGGUAAAACAUGACCCCACUUUGGUAAAUAGUCUACAAAUUUAAAUUCCCUAUAUAAUAAAUAAAAUAUGGAAUCUAUAAAGAAUGGAAUUUAAUUAAAAAAAAGAAAAAAAAGAAAACAAAUUUUUGAUUUUAAACUUGCGAUAUCAGAUUUUAUCAGUUUAUAACUUACACAAUAGUUUAAUUACUAUAUAUUUUGUCAAGGAAAUUUAUGUGUUUCAUAUUAAACAUAUAAAUAGCAUAUAUAUACUUACAUAAAUUAAAAAUGGCUGUUUCUAUUCCUGAAUGAUUUUUUUUCAUGGCACAGUUUUGAGGUGCGAUUCUGUUUCUAUUUGGUCAAUUUUUUUUAACAAUUCUUCAAAUUGUAUUUUUGAUUAAUUUCUUCAGAAUAUAUGUAACAACUCCAAAAAUUAAAUAUGAAAACGUAUGUGAUGGAAAAAUAAAAUGGUAUAUAGAUUGUACGACCACAUGCAAGUUAUUAUAUAAAUGUAAUAAGUCUGUUGCGGUCUUGUAGAUUCGCGAAAUGCUAGAUUUUUAAGAUUACAAAUCAGUGUUUAUUUUGAUAUUUUGCCAUUAUAAUUCAUAAAAACUCUGAGUAUUUAAAGACUUUUAAAUAUUAAUUUUUUUAUUUGGGACUCGACAUUUUUAUUUGGCAUCUAAAACUAAGAAAAAGGAAUAAAGAAUGUGAAAGAAAACAAGUAACACAAAAUGAUAAAUAUAAAUCUCACAUGAAUAUAUUAAAUAUUUAUUUUGAAUUUGUAUGCAAAUACAAAUAAUUUUAUUAAAAUCCCAUAUUAUUAUGUUAAAUAAUAAUUAAGCUGGUGAUACCGCUUUUGAAACAGACACACAAUGAGCCCAUAAUUCAUCUCUUUUCUGUAAAUAUUUGGAUUCGUUUCCGAUUAAACUAGGUCUAUCCGCGAUAUAUUUGACAAGUGUGUCAUGACACUCUUUGCCUUCUUGAACAAGCUCUUUGCAACAAGGAAUGGAUACAACUCCAUCUCCAAAAACUUGGGAAAUGAUCUUGAGCGCACAGUUUGGACUGAUUUUAACAACGCAUUGAUCCCAUAAUUUUUUUGGCUCAUUUUCUUCUACAGCUAAUGAAGGUACACAUGUAAUUGCCACAACUAGAACUACCAAAGACAACAUAAUAAAGUUAAGCUUCACCAUGGUUGUUAUGUGUUUGAGGAUUUACAGUUUAACUUUUCUCAAGUUAGAGAA
RNAcentral lists this long non-coding RNA (3979 nucleotides) under Brassica rapa (field mustard). RNAcentral's name for it is "long non-coding RNA (BRAP_LNC005463)". The record is from RNAcentral. Lineage: Eukaryota; Viridiplantae; Streptophyta; Magnoliopsida; Brassicales; Brassicaceae.